UCUUCCCUCUUUCUUCGUGCCUAAUACAUGCAAGUCGAGCGAACAGACGAGGAGCUUGCUCCUCUGACGUUAGCGGCGGACGGGUGAGUAACACGUGGAUAACCUACCUAUAAGACUGGGAUAACUUCGGGAAACCGGAGCUAAUACCGGAUAAUAUAUUGAACCGCAUGGUUCAAUAGUUAAAGACGGUUUUGCUGUCACUUAUAGAUGGAUCCGCGCCGCAUUAGCUAGUUGGUAAGGUAACGGCUUACCAAGGCAACGAUGCGUAGCCGACCUGAGAGGGUGAUCGGCCACACUGGAACUGAGACACGGUCCAGACUCCUACGGGAGGCAGCAGUAGGGAAUCUUCCGCAAUGGGCGAAAGCCUGACGUAGCAACGCCGCGUGAGUGAUGAAGGUCUUCGGAUCGUAAAACUCUGUUAUUAGGGAAGAACAAAUGUGUAAGUAACUAUGCACGUCUUGACGGUACCUAAUCAGAAAGCCACGGCUAACUACGUG
This 497-nucleotide ribosomal RNA is filed under the name uncultured bacterium. RNAcentral's name for it is "partial 16S ribosomal RNA". It matches the Rfam family "Bacterial small subunit ribosomal RNA", at positions 36 to 507 of the family's 1533-position model. The record is from RNAcentral.